Molecule: unclassified non-coding RNA, 240 nt
Filed under: soil metagenome
Description: partial contains 5.8S ribosomal RNA, internal transcribed spacer 2, and large subunit ribosomal RNA
Source: RNAcentral
AACCUAGCACACCUGCGGUGUGUACCUGCGGAGGGAUCAUUAACCUUUCAAAUCAGGGUGCGGCGCGGCCCCCGAGGAGCGGAAACAAUCCUUGGGAGGUAUGCGGGGGCUUCGAGCCCCCCAUUUACGCACGCACGACUGCCAUCCUUACUUUACGAGCACCUUCUGUUCUCCCUCGGCGGGGCAACCUGCCGUUGGAACCGAAUAAACUCUUUUUGCAUCUAGCAUUACCCGUUCCGA